AAUCCUUUUGGAUUUUGGUAUUUCAAAACGAAAUUCCAAACUCUCAACGAUGGAUGCCUCGGCUCGAGAAUCGAUGAAGGACGCAGCGAAGUGCGAUAAGCACUGCGAUUUGCAGAAUUCCGUGAACCAGUAGAAAUCUCAACGCAUACUGCACAAAGGGGAUCUUUCCUCUUUGUACAUACAUAUCAGUGUCACUC
Molecule: ribosomal RNA, 197 nt
Filed under: Perkinsus olseni
Lineage: Eukaryota; Perkinsozoa; Perkinsida; Perkinsidae
Description: 5.8S ribosomal RNA
Rfam family: 5.8S ribosomal RNA (bases 39-194)
About the family: 5.8S ribosomal RNA (5.8S rRNA) is a component of the large subunit of the eukaryotic ribosome. It is transcribed by RNA polymerase I as part of the 45S precursor that also contains 18S and 28S rRNA.
Source: RNAcentral